Molecule: transfer RNA, 91 nt
Filed under: Sphaerisporangium krabiense
Lineage: Bacteria; Bacillati; Actinomycetota; Actinomycetes; Streptosporangiales; Streptosporangiaceae
Description: tRNA-Pro
Source: RNAcentral
GUUCGCGCGGCUCGCCGCGGGCGCGCGGCUCGGCGCCGCGACGGCGGACGUGGUCGCGCUCGCGGGGCGGUGCGACCCCGCCGCGCGGCUG